AACGAACGCUGGCGGCAUGCCUAACACAUGCAAGUCGAACGAGACCUCCGGGUCUAGUGGCGCUCGGGUGCGUAACGCGUGGGAACCUGCCCUUAGGCUCGGAAUAACUCCCCGAAAGGGGUGCUAAUACCGGGUAAUGUCCUCGGACCAAAGAUUUAUCGCCUUUGGAUGGGCCCGCGUUGGAUUAGCUUGUUGGUAGGGUAAGAGCCUAUCAAGGCGACGAUCCAUAGCUGGUCUGAGAGGAAGAUCAGCCACACUGGGACUGAGACACGGCCCAGACUCCUACGGGAAGGAGGAGAGGGGAAUAUUGGAAAAGGGGCGAAAGCCUGAUCCAGCAAUGCCGGGUGAGUGAUGAUGUCCUUAGGGUUGUAAAGCUCUUUUACCCGGGAUGAUAAUGACGGUACCGGGAGAAUAAGCUCCGGCUAACUCCGUG
This 433-nucleotide ribosomal RNA is filed under the name uncultured bacterium. RNAcentral describes it as "partial 16S ribosomal RNA". It matches the Rfam family "Bacterial small subunit ribosomal RNA", at positions 29 to 507 of the family's 1533-position model. The record is from RNAcentral.